GAUGAAGAACGUAGCGAAAUGCGAUAAGUAAUGUGAAUUGCAGAAUUCAGUGAAUCAUCGAAUCUUUGAACGCACAUUGCGCCCGCCAGCAUUCUGGCGGGCAUGCCUGUUCGAGCGUCAUUUCAACCCUCGACUUCCCUUUGGGGAAAUCGGCGUUGGGGACCGGCUGUAUACCGCCGGCCCCGAAAUGAAGUGGCGGCCCGUCCGCGGCGACCUCUGCGUAGUAAUCCAACUCGCACCGGAACCCCGACGUGGCCACGCCGUAAAACCCCCGACUUCUGAACGUUGACCUCGGAUCAGGUAGGAAUACCCGCUGAACUUAAGCAUAUCAAUAAGCGAAGGA
RNAcentral lists this unclassified non-coding RNA (343 nucleotides) under soil metagenome. RNAcentral describes it as "partial contains 5.8S ribosomal RNA, internal transcribed spacer 2, and large subunit ribosomal RNA". The stretch from base 1 to 120 matches the Rfam family "5.8S ribosomal RNA", at positions 35 to 154 of the family's 154-position model. The record is from RNAcentral.